RNAcentral lists this long non-coding RNA (1138 nucleotides) under Numida meleagris (helmeted guineafowl). RNAcentral describes it as "lncRNA (ENSNMEG00000000772.1)". The record is from RNAcentral. Lineage: Eukaryota; Metazoa; Chordata; Aves; Galliformes; Numididae.
CAAACCGCAGCUUUAAUCAGAGCCUGCCUGAUGAAACCUGUUUACACGCUUGCCAUUGUUCAUGAGCCACGUUCAUUAGGCAAGCAGCGUUAAUGACGAUCCCAAGGCAGGAACUUUAAUCAGAGGGGAGGGCGAGGGACAGCCUUCCCUGGUGCUGUUCCAAUGAGUGCUCCCAGCAGCCCCCAGCCCCCAGCAGCACGGAACACUGCCAAGUGUGGAGCAUAACUCGUUCAAGAAGGGGGAAAUGAGAGGCAAAGUAAUAAUCAAAAUGCUCCAAAGGAGAAGACCAGAGGCUUUCAUCAAGGAUGAGAAUAAAGCUGCGCCCUGGAAACUUGGAAGGCAGCAAACCUAAAGCUGGCAAAACAUGCCUUCACCAGUCAGACAGCUCCUUUGUGCUGUGCUGGUUUUUUACAUGGGCAGAUAGUGAUGGACAAGGGGGAAUGGCUUUAAACUAGAAGACGGGAGAUUCGGGUCAGGUAUUAGGAGGAAAUCCUUUACUCGGAUGCAGUGAGGAGCUGCCCACAGCUGUGGGUGCUCCAUUGCUGGAGGUGCCCAAGGCCACGGACAGGGCUCUGGGUGACCUGCUCACCCCCUCCAUGGCAGCAGGUUGGAACUGGGUGUGCUUUGGGGUCCCUUGCAACCCAGCCAUUCUAUGGUUCUACGCUACUGUGAUUCUACGAUUCCAUGUUUCUGUGAAUAAACAGGCUCCUGGGGUUGCACGGUGGUGGUGGGCUGAGCCCAGAGCUGCACGCGUUGGAGGUCCCAGGGUCCCACCAGGGCUCAGCCCGCGGUGUCAAACGCUUCCCUCUAAUAAGCAAGGAGAAAACAACACCAGUCAUAGCGAACUUCACAAAAUGAUUCACUGGAGGACGGAGGGAACUGGUGUCUUUUUGCUUGAAGAACUUAAUAAGACAUCCACAGCAACUCCAAGCCGUAUUGUUAUAUUCAAUUACUUAUGAGGCCCCAAGUUUCUCCACUUUAAUUGCUCGAAGCAGGGAAGCUUUAGUCACAGUGUAAUGUACCCAGGCAUGUAUGGGGUUUAAUGAAUCAUACUAACUCUGCACUCUAAGCAAUUAGGUAAAUCUAGCUGUUAGUUAGUGAGGCAUAAAAUAAAUUUAAUCUCUCUUCUAAAAAAUCA